This 483-nucleotide ribosomal RNA is filed under the name Ctenophora environmental sample. RNAcentral describes it as "partial Bacterial large subunit ribosomal RNA". It matches the Rfam family "Bacterial large subunit ribosomal RNA", at positions 627 to 1110 of the family's 2925-position model. The record is from RNAcentral. Lineage: Eukaryota; Metazoa; Ctenophora.
GUUACUUAAUGCAGCAAGGUUAAGCCGAGAGGUGUAGCCGUAGCGAAAGCGAGUCUUAACAGGGCAGCAAGUUGCAUUGAGUAGACCCGAAACCAGGUGAUCUAUCCAUGGCCAGGGUGAAGCGGGAGUAAAAUCUCGUGGAGGCCCGAACCGCCACAGGUUGAAAACUGUUCGGAUGAGCGGUGGAUAGGGGUGAAAGGCCAAACAAACCUGGAGAUAGCUGGUUCUCUUCGAAAUAUAUUUAGGUAUAGCCUUAUAAGUUUCUUAUCGGAGGUAGAGCACUGGAUGGGCUAGGGGUCUCACCGGAUUACUAAACCUAACUAAACUCCGAAUACCGAUAAGUAAGAUUAUAGGAGUCAGCCCGCGGGAGCUAAGUUCCGCGGACGAGAGGGAAACAACCCAGACCACCAGCUAAGGUCCCCAAAUCUAUGCUAAGUGGGGAAGGAUGUGGAAAUGCCCAGACAACCAGGAGGUUGGCUUAGA